RNAcentral lists this signal recognition particle RNA (299 nucleotides) under Capra hircus (goat). Its description in RNAcentral is "Metazoan signal recognition particle RNA (ENSCHIG00000006359.1)". It matches the Rfam family "Metazoan signal recognition particle RNA". Rfam says of the family: The signal recognition particle (SRP) is a universally conserved ribonucleoprotein. Lineage: Eukaryota; Metazoa; Chordata; Mammalia; Artiodactyla; Bovidae. The record is from RNAcentral.
GCCGGGUGUGGUGGCGCGCGCCUGUAAUCCCGGCUACUCGGGAGGCUGAGGCUGGAGGAUCGCUUGAGCUCAGCAGUUCUGGGCUGCAGUGCGCUAUGCCAAUUGGGUGUCCGCACUAAGUUCGGCAUCAAUAUGGUGACCUCCUGGGAGCAGGGGACCACCAGGUUGCCUAAGGAGGGGUGAAUUGGCCCAGGUUGGAAACAGAGCGGGUCAAAACUCCCGUGCUGAUGAGUAGUGGGAUCACGCCUGUGAAUAGCCACUGUACUCCAGCCUGGGCAGCAUAGUGAGACCCUGUCUCU